AACGAACGCUGGCGGCAUGCCUAACACAUGCAAGUCGAACGAUUGCCUUCGGGUGAUAGUGGCGCACGGGUGCGUAACGCGUGGGAAUCUGCCCUUAGGUUCGGAAUAACAGCUGGAAACGGCUGCUAAUACCGGAUGAUAUCGCGAGAUCAAAGAUUUAUCGCCUGAGGAUGAGCCCGCGUUGGAUUAGGUAGUUGGUGGGGUAAAGGCCUACCAAGCCGACGAUCCAUAGCUGGUCUGAGAGGAUGAUCAGCCACACUGGGACUGAGACACGGCCCAGACUCCUACGGGAGGCAGCAGUGGGGAAUAUUGGACAAUGGGCGCAAGCCUGAUCCAGCAAUGCCGCGUGAGUGAUGAAGGCCCUAGGGUUGUAAAGCUCUUUUACCCGGGAAGAUAAUGGCUGUACCGGGAGAAUAAGCCCCGGCUAACUCCGUG
This 435-nucleotide ribosomal RNA is filed under the name uncultured bacterium. Its description in RNAcentral is "partial 16S ribosomal RNA". It matches the Rfam family "Bacterial small subunit ribosomal RNA", at positions 29 to 507 of the family's 1533-position model. The record is from RNAcentral.